This 228-nucleotide long non-coding RNA is filed under the name Elaeis guineensis (African oil palm). Its description in RNAcentral is "long non-coding RNA (EGUI_LNC057349)". Lineage: Eukaryota; Viridiplantae; Streptophyta; Magnoliopsida; Arecales; Arecaceae. The record is from RNAcentral.
UCCAAUGGGCAAUCGGGUAUCAAAGUCCAUCAAUAUGAAACCUUGAUCGAAGAGCCCCAAACCAGUGGGACUCUUGACCCCGGUACCCAAAAUGUGUGGGACUCAUGAUCAGAGAAUCUUGAUUCUCGAUCACAGAGUCUCAGACACAUAGAACUCAUAGUCCAUGAAUAUUAGGACUCUUUAUCAGCCAUCAGAUCAGAUAGGAACCUCUAAUGUGUGUGACCCCGC